UUUUAAUGAAUUAGGGAAUCCAUCGACCUGUCAAAGUUAAAUCACGUGAUCUUUGGUUGGCACACAAAACCGUUCUUAACCUAAACUCAAUGUAAUUUUUGAUUUUUCGUAUUUGUUUUUCGUCGUGAUUUUUUAGCUAAUUUAGUAUUAAAAGACAUUCAUUAGAUUAAUUAGUUUAUAAACUUUACGUUUUUGGUGAUUUUGGCCCGGUCUUUUCACCUCCGAAUAAAUAUGCUCUUAUCUGGCAGUUAGCUAUCUGGAGGAUAAAUAUUUAUUCGCCAGAUAAAAUGUACCCGUCUUUUCACGUCAAUUUAUGUUCCAGUUAGUUAUCCGGUAGAUAAGCUUAAAACAUGAUUUCAGCUUUAACUUAACCUAACAUAAUUAGAUUCAAAGUAUUUCAAAGAUGAUUUUAUCGAUUUUAUUUCCAUUUUGGAAGAAGGAAUGAAGGAAAUAAGGAAAACAUUGAUUAUGCUGAAAUAGUUUACUGGAGAGCUUGAACAAGAGGUAAAUCCAUUUUAAAUUAGAGGAAAACUGUUGAUUUGUAUGUAAAAUAGAAGACAAAGACAAGUUUAAAUAAAGACAAGCUAGCUAAUGAAACAGAUGCAGUGAUAUGACAAACACCUAGAAGAUGGAAUCCUGUGUUCUCAAAGAAAAAGCUAGUUCCAGAAAUAAGCUACCAAUAAUAAACUAGAGAAUGUAUUACAAGAAAGAACAACGCUAAUACCCAACAUAGCUCAAUUGCUUCAGAUAGAAAAAGAGGAGGAAAGGGUAGAACACAAGCGUGCCAGAGAAAAUUAAAGGGCAGAAGAGACACAAAAAUUCAUUGAUUUAUUAAAUUUAAUAAUUAAAUUAUACAAAGGACAAUUAAAUAAAGAAUAAAAAAUUA
Molecule: long non-coding RNA, 886 nt
Filed under: Diabrotica virgifera virgifera (western corn rootworm)
Lineage: Eukaryota; Metazoa; Arthropoda; Insecta; Coleoptera; Chrysomelidae
Description: uncharacterized LOC126888770
Source: RNAcentral